UACAGAGGGGGCGAGCGUUAUUCGGAAUUAUUGGGCGUAAAGGGCGCGUAGGCGGCUUGGCAAGUCAAAGGUGAAAUCCCUCGGCUCAACCGAGGAACUGCCUUUGAAACUGCCUCGCUCGAGGCCGGGAGAGGGUAGUGGAAUUCCCAGUGUAGCGGUGAAAUGCGUAGAUAUUGGGAGGAACACCGGUGGCGAAGGCGGCUACCUGGACCGGUUCUGACGCUGAGGCGCGAAAGCGUGGGGAUCAAACAGG
RNAcentral lists this ribosomal RNA (253 nucleotides) under uncultured Acidobacteriota bacterium. RNAcentral describes it as "uncultured Acidobacteria bacterium partial 16S ribosomal RNA". It matches the Rfam family "Bacterial small subunit ribosomal RNA", at positions 524 to 776 of the family's 1533-position model. Lineage: Bacteria; Pseudomonadati; Acidobacteriota. The record is from RNAcentral.